UGGGGAAUUUUGGACAAUGGGCGAAAGCCUGAUCCAGCAAUGCCGCGUGUGUGAAGAAGGCCUUCGGGUUGUAAAGCACUUUUGUCCGGAAAGAAAUCCUUGGCUCUAAUACAGUCGGGGGAUGACGGUACCGGAAGAAUAAGCACCGGCUAACUACGUGCCAGCAGCCGCGGUAAUACGUAGGGUGCAAGCGUUAAUCGGAAUUACUGGGCGUAAAGCGUGCGCAGGCGGUUUGCUAAGACCGAUGUGAAAUCCCCGGGCUCAACCUGGGAACUGCAUUGGUGACUGGCGGGCUAGAGUAUGGCAGAGGGGGGUAGAAUUCCACGUGUAGCAGUGAAAUGCGUAGAGAUGUGGAGGAAUACCGAUGGCGAAGGCAGCCCCCUGGGCCAAUACUGACGCUCAUGCACGAAAGCGUGGGGAGCAAACAGGAUUAGAUACCCUGGUAGUCCACGCCCUAAACGAUGUCAACUAGUUGUUGGGGAUUCAUUUUCCUUAGUAACGUAGCUAACGCGUGAAGUUUGACCGCCU
RNAcentral lists this ribosomal RNA (528 nucleotides) under uncultured bacterium. RNAcentral describes it as "partial 16S ribosomal RNA". It matches the Rfam family "Bacterial small subunit ribosomal RNA", at positions 355 to 874 of the family's 1533-position model. The record is from RNAcentral.